GCCUGGAUAGCUCAGUUGGUUAGAGCAUGGUGUUGAUAACGCCAAGGUUGCAGGUUUGAUCCCAUAUGGGACA
Podarcis lilfordi (Lilford's wall lizard) is the source of this 73-nucleotide non-coding RNA. The record is from the annotation of a GenBank genome assembly. Lineage: Eukaryota; Metazoa; Chordata; Lepidosauria; Squamata; Lacertidae.